Non-coding RNA from Cinara cedri, 219 nucleotides. The record is from the annotation of a GenBank genome assembly. NCBI's taxonomy places the organism in Eukaryota, Metazoa, Arthropoda, Insecta, Hemiptera, Aphididae.
ACUGCAGCAUCUAUUGUGUGUGUACCACACCUGUUGUUGUAUAUUAUUAUGUAAAUAAUAUUGUGAGCGCAGUGUACUAUGCAGCCGCAAGGACGUCGUCAUAAACUCCAAUCACUUCGUUAUACUCGAGCAAUAAUAAUAAUAAGUGGAUCACUCUGUAUACAUUACAAUAAAUAACGAUCGACGUGCCUAUUAAUAUAAUAUGAUAUCGUCGUUUAA